Molecule: long non-coding RNA, 201 nt
Filed under: Phoenix dactylifera (date palm)
Lineage: Eukaryota; Viridiplantae; Streptophyta; Magnoliopsida; Arecales; Arecaceae
Description: long non-coding RNA (PDAC_LNC012135)
Source: RNAcentral
GUUGGUGAGCCGAGGUUAAAACCAACGGUGUAAGGGUUUGAUUGUGAUUCCGGAAAAACAAUCGGGUGGUUCUAGUCGGUGAGCCUGUGAAAACCGACCGAGUUCGUUGUGAUCUCGUAAAACAACAAGUUGGGUUGUGAACUUGUAAAACAACCGACUGUAAUCCGAGGGAUUAUAGUGAACUCCCAAGUGAGGCUUGGG